GACCAGACUCCUACGGGAGGCAGCAGUGAGGGAUAUUGGGCAAUGGGGGAAACCCUGACCCAGCGACGCCGCGUGAGGGAAGACGGUCUUCGGAUUGUAAACCUCUGUCUUUGGGGACGAAAAAGGACGGUACCCAAGGAGGAAGCUCCGGCUAACUACGUGCCAGCAGCCGCGGUAAUACGUAGGGGGCAAGCGUUAUCCGGAUUUACUGGGUGUAAAGGGAGCGUAGACGGCAGCACAAGUCUGGAGUGAAAUGCCGGGGCUUAACCCCGGAACUGCUUUGGAAACUGUGCAGCUAGAGUGCAGGAGAGGUAAGUGGAAUUCCUAGUGUAGCGGUGAAAUGCGUAGAUAUUAGGAGGAACACCAGUGGCGAAGGCGACUUACUGGACUGUAACUGACGUUGAGGCUCGAAAGCGUGGGGAGCAAACAGGAUUAGAUACCCUGGUAU
RNAcentral lists this ribosomal RNA (448 nucleotides) under uncultured bacterium. RNAcentral's name for it is "bacterial SSU rRNA". It matches the Rfam family "Bacterial small subunit ribosomal RNA", at positions 329 to 793 of the family's 1533-position model. The record is from RNAcentral.